Molecule: ribosomal RNA, 519 nt
Filed under: uncultured eukaryote
Lineage: Eukaryota
Description: SSU rRNA
Rfam family: Eukaryotic small subunit ribosomal RNA
Source: RNAcentral
AGGGCACCACCAGGAGUGGAGCCUGCGGCUUAAUUUGACUCAACACGGGGAAACUCACCCGGCCCGGACACCGUAAGGAUUGACAGAUUGAUAGCUUUUUCAUGAUUCGGUGGAUGGUGGUGCAUGGCCGUUCUUAGUUCGUGGAGCGAUUUGUCUGGUUUAUUCCGAUAACGAGCGAGACUCUGGCCUACUAAAUAGUUGGCGCAUUGCUACUGUGCGCACAACACUUCUUAGAGGGAUUUUCGGUGUUCAGCCGCACGAAAUUGAGCAAUAACAGGUCUGUGAUGCCCCUAGAUGUCCGGGGCUGCACGCGCGCUACACUGGCAAAAUCAGCGUGCUUGUCCUUCCCCGAAAGGGGUUGGUAAGCCCGCGAAAAUUUGCCGUGAUUGGGAUCGGACAUUGCAAUUAUUGUCCGUGAACGAGGAAUUCCUUGUAGGGGCGAGUCAUCAACUCGCUCUGAAUACGUCCCUGCCCUUUGUACACACCGCCCGUCGCUGCCCGGGACUGAGCCAUUUCGAG